UAGGGAAUCUUCGGCAAUGGACGAAAGUCUGACCGAGCAACGCCGCGUGAGUGAAGAAGGUUUUCGGAUCGUAAAACUCUGUUGUUAGAGAAGAACAAGGACGUUAGUAACUGAACGUCCCCUGACGGUAUCUAACCAGAAAGCCACGGCUAACUACGUGCCAGCAGCCGCGGUAAUACGUAGGUGGCAAGCGUUGUCCGGAUUUAUUGGGCGUAAAGCGAGCGCAGGCGGUUUCUUAAGUCUGAUGUGAAAGCCCCCGGCUCAACCGGGGAGGGUCAUUGGAAACUGGGAGACUUGAGUGCAGAAGAGGAGAGUGGAAUUCCAUGUGUAGCGGUGAAAAGCGUAGAUAUAUGGAGGAACACCAGUGGCGAAGGCGGCCCCCUGGACGAAGACUGACGCUCAGGUGCGAAAGCGUGGGGAGCAAACAGG
Molecule: ribosomal RNA, 429 nt
Filed under: Chloroflexota bacterium
Lineage: Bacteria; Bacillati; Chloroflexota
Description: Chloroflexi bacterium partial 16S ribosomal RNA
Rfam family: Bacterial small subunit ribosomal RNA
Source: RNAcentral